AGGCGGAUUUAGGGGAUGGGGAUAGGUCGGGGGACGGGGUUUGGGGAUGGCUAACUGCGCCCUUCCUAUGCAGCGUUAGAAAGCAGCACACAAAAGUACUCGUUAUCGCUGUUUCCUCGUCUAAAACCAGCUCCGCUCGCGCCAGCUCCCCUAACCCCACCCCGAAAAACCUGUGCGCAAGCAGCCGCCGGCAACGACGGACUUGCGAGAAAUACCGGUAAUUUAGCCGUCGCCUGACAACGGCACGAAACACGCAGCCCUUCUCUAAGGGUAUUUGCGAGAAAGCGAAGGCGCUUUGCUUUGUUUGCUUAGGUUGGCGAUGAAAAGGAGUGAAUGUUACGACGGCUUUAUAAAGCUAAUAUCGCCUGGGAAGAAAAACACCAUCAAACGCACCGGGUUGUUGUGGCAGCUCGUGUUUGAGCGCACGCAGCCAAUUUCUGCAAAGGGCUCCGCUGGCGCGGCUCCGCGGAGCGGCCUCCGGCUCGGCUCAGCUCGGGCUUCGCGAGAGCUUCCCGGUGGCCGCCAGGCCGCUGCUGCCCACGGGUGUCUGCGUGACACCCCGUGUCGGCCGAAUUGGGCCACCCUGUGCAGGACACCGGCGUUGCUCAAGCGCGGCAGAUACCGGCCACCAAUCCAGAAGGAGGAUCCCCUGGAAGACCAAACCUCAUCUGUCACGUUAAAUGACUUGAGUCUUGGCUACCUGACCCAAACUCCCCGGUACAAAUUAUAUGUAGCGCUAAGCCUCAAACUGCCCCGGAGCUGUCACUCCCCAGGGUGUUUUCACGUGAGCUCUGACUCGAGAGAUGGGAGCAGAAGUUGGGCCGGCAGGUUGUUCGGCGCCUCCGACAUCCCAAGGUCUUGAUGCCGGGGCUGGGCGUACUGCCGAGGUCGCUGCCGCACGCUCGGCUUUCCUCGUGAGAAUUCGCUGGGACCCAAGGACAGCACGGCAGCAUUUUGUAAGUCCUCACUGAUGCAUCUCUUCCAAGCCUUCCUGUUCAGGCUCUUUCACAAAAAUAAAAAACCCGCCAGAUUUUCA
RNAcentral lists this long non-coding RNA (1036 nucleotides) under Apteryx owenii (little spotted kiwi). Its description in RNAcentral is "lncRNA (ENSAOWG00000006047.1)". The record is from RNAcentral. Lineage: Eukaryota; Metazoa; Chordata; Aves; Apterygiformes; Apterygidae.